ACACGACUACAUUAGAUACCCCGGUAGUCCAGGGUGUAAACGCUGCGGGCUUGGUGUUGGGGGUCCUUUGAGGGCGCCCAGUGCCGGAGAGAAGUUGUUAAGCCUGUUGCUUGGGGAGUACGUCCGCAAGGAUGAAACUUAAAGGAAUUGGCGGGGGAGCACCGCAACGGGAGGAGCGUGCGGUUCAAUUGGAUUCAACGCCGGACAACUCACCAGGAGCGACGGUUACAUGAAGGCCAGGCUGAUGACCUUGCCUGAUUUUCCG
This 265-nucleotide ribosomal RNA is filed under the name uncultured archaeon. RNAcentral describes it as "partial 16S ribosomal RNA". It matches the Rfam family "Archaeal small subunit ribosomal RNA", at positions 717 to 982 of the family's 1478-position model. The record is from RNAcentral.